CCUUAAAAUAUCGGUCGGUCACAGACAUUGUCCAACCCAUUUGUGAAAUUGUUUGACGUAGAGAGGAAACCACUGGACAUUCUGUCCGACUUAAGUGAAACUGAGGUUUAUUGUUUGUCUGACCCGAGUGCAUUGGUGUCCGACCUAACUGUAACUUUGUCCAAUGUCAAUCAAAAUGUACCCUAGUCCAGGACUAGAGGCUCGUAUGUUAAAUGGAGAAUCAGAGUAAUGCAUAAAAAGUGAACUGGAAUGUGUAAUCAAGUGCGGGGUUUUCACUGUGGGGUUCGGAAAUUCAUUGCCAAGAUUCAAAUGACUUUUCCAAUUUCCAAAUUGUACUCAUAUUAAUUAGUGUCUGCAUUCAUACUUAUUUCCAAGCCAAACUGAACUCAAAGUCAUCGGACAUCACAAUACAUAUGUCCGGCUCAAAGUCAUUGAACAUUUUGUCAGACGGUUAUCUGAUUCUUCAAGAGAAAAGGCAAGCACAUUGUGUUGCCAGAUAAUAAAGGCACAUUGUUAAUUAGAGU
This is a non-coding RNA of Paramuricea clavata, 524 nucleotides long. NCBI's taxonomy places the organism in Eukaryota, Metazoa, Cnidaria, Anthozoa, Malacalcyonacea, Plexauridae. The record is from the annotation of a GenBank genome assembly.